CUGGGUUGGAAAAGGUUGGAAGGCAAAGAAAAGUGCAGAAACAGCUUGGGAAGACAUCUGUGUACGGUUGUUUCUGGCACAGGAGAGGCUGGAUAAUGGAGGAAAUUGUGUAUAAUUGAAAAGAAGAGGACAUGAUGAUCAGUAUAUGGAAGCAACAACAAAGAAGGAUAAUGGAAAGGAAAUUGAUGAAAAUGUAUACCAACGAAGCAUCUAUAUAAAUUGACACUUGUUGAAAUCUCAGGCAAUCAAAGAACAUUAUGGAUAUAGAAGUGGCUGAAGCUAAGUUUGUUUCAUCAUUAUGGAUUUUUUAAAGUUUUACUGACAUUCAGAUCAAUUGG
Molecule: long non-coding RNA, 338 nt
Organism: Ahaetulla prasina
Lineage: Eukaryota; Metazoa; Chordata; Lepidosauria; Squamata; Colubridae
Exons: 4
Source: RefSeq, a predicted model, not a curated record